Non-coding RNA from Ictidomys tridecemlineatus (thirteen-lined ground squirrel), 1298 nucleotides. NCBI's taxonomy places the organism in Eukaryota, Metazoa, Chordata, Mammalia, Rodentia, Sciuridae. The record is from RefSeq and is a predicted model, not a curated record.
ACCCAAAUUCCUGACAUAAUGUUCUUCUGUGAUUCAGUUCAUACAUGAUUUUAUUUUUUGGUCUAAUUUUUUUUCACUGAUACAUUCUCAUGAAUAUUCAUGUUUACCAAUACUGAUAUUCUUCCUCUAGAAUGACUCCUCACCCAACUCAAAAUGUCAUGUUAACCUUAAACUUAUUCUAUUACCUCAAUUGAAUUGCACAGAAAAGCAUAUAUAGAGUUGAUGUUGAGGUAGAGGCAUAUAAAAGAUCAUAUACCUGCUGAGAACCUCAAAGGUAGAUGCCAGAAUGAUUCCCAGGGAAUAUGAAGGCAGCUCUGUAGGCCCAGAGAGGAUGACUUCCAGGACAAAGAACAUAGUCAGAAUGAGGCGAUGAAUCUGAAUGUAGCUCUUAUCUUCUCAAUCCAGGAAAGACGGAUACAACCAGGUCUGUUUGGAUACCUGAUCCUGGGUGUGUUUGUGUAACUUUGUAAACUUUGGAAAAUGUCACAGAAAGAUGUGUGCAGCCUCCUUCUCAAGGGGCCCUUUGAAACACCAGGUAAAAGCACGUGGUUUCCAAGGAAAUGAUCUAUUCUCAUUUUAUUCAUUUCAGUGACCUCACCGCACUACCUUGGUGAUGAAACAUUCUAAACCAAGAAUUCAGGUAGCUAGGCACCAGAGGCAGACACAGGCCCAGUCUUCUCACUUGUUUGGCCUCACCAAAUACAGAGUCCUACUUUCUUGGCAUCUACUGAUCGGUGGAUGGCCAAAUGUCAUGAAAGCACUGAGGAGGGGCCUUCCCUGAAAAUAAAGGCACAGGAUCAUGACUGUGUCCUGAAAACUCUGGUGAAUUUUCCCAAGGACACUAGAGCUGAGACAGUAGAGGCUAUUACAGGAAGAAGAAAAAGAAUGUGACAGUGGAUGUAUCCUGUCUAGUGAAAACAUUACCAACACUAACACUGGCAAAUUAAUGCAUGGACAGCUGCUUGCCUUGUGGAUGGGAAAGACCUGCUAUGUUUAUUUUUUCAUGUCUUCCUACUGAAAUUUGGCCACUACAGAGAGGUGCUGGUAGAUUUGUGUAAAAGUUGUUGACCAGCUCUAAGCCCUCUGAAAGCUAUGUAUGGACUUCAUGAGGUGGCUCAUGAGCAUCACUGUGAAACUCAGAAAUAACUGUGGAAUGUAAGGUUUUCAGAUGAUAACUCUGCCUUGAUACAUAGAUAUCCAAGCAGAAUGAGCAAUAGAAGAAAUUCAUUGUCCUAUCUUUGGUCCUGUAAAAAACUCUGUCCAGAGCUUUUGUUAUUUGCUAUUGUUCUCUCUUCAGG